Molecule: unclassified non-coding RNA, 362 nt
Filed under: uncultured fungus
Lineage: Eukaryota; Fungi
Description: partial contains 5.8S ribosomal RNA, internal transcribed spacer 2, and large subunit ribosomal RNA
Rfam family: 5.8S ribosomal RNA (bases 1-52)
Source: RNAcentral
AACGCACCUUGCACCCUUUGGUAUUCCGAAGGGUAUGCCUGUUUGAGUGUCAUUAAUAUUCUCAACCGUUGACUUGGGUUUUCCCUUGACGAUAGUGUUGGAUUUGAGGGUGUUGUGUCGGUCCACUUCAUAUUUUGAAGACGGUCGACUCCCUUUAAAAGCAUUAGUGGGUUUGACCUUUGUGGAUAUGCCUCGAUUUGAUAGUUAUCAAUAUGUCGUCGCACUGAAACAAUAAGCCUGCUUUCUAACUGUCCUUGACAAGGACUGCUCUAUUUAUUGAGCAAUAAGAGUCGUUGCCUUUGGGCUUGACUUGUAACGAUUUAUUUGACCUCAAAUCAGGUAGGACUACCCGCUGAACUUAA